CCCACUCCACCGCCCCCUGCCGCCGCGUCCUCCUCCCUCUCGUCGACGGCGCCGGCGCCUUCGACCUCGCCUCAGCCGCCGCCACGGCUCCACCAACUCCGCGUCCUUGCGCCUGCCGCCCGCGACCUCGGCGGGAUGAGAGUACGCGCGCCCUCGAGAUCCGCUGUCGCUGGGUUUCGAAUUUUUGCCGCGAUCUUGUUGCUUUUGUUUAGCGUGCUGCAUGUUCGAUAUCCAACUGUGAGCUUGUGCUGCAUGAUCCGGGCACAUAAGUUUCAAGUUAUGGUGCUCGGUUACCACAACUGAUGCGCUUAGAUUCAGCGAAUAUAACGCAGUUUUUAUUUUUUAAGCAGUUCUCAGAAUGCCAUUGAAUCCAUGGAUGGGGGAAGUUGGUGGUUACUGGAAUCUUUGGUUACGCUAAGCCUGUUCAGUGAUGGAAAAGUUCAUGAUUUUUCUUUUCCAUGCCUUACCUGUUUCAUUCAGUUUGUCUCUUUGGGUUAAUAAAUAAUAUCCAUGCCUUUCACUUCAUUUGCAGAUUCGGAUGUUCAGAACUGGAGGAAUCCCAGCACUACCGUCUAAAUGGUUAGGCCCAUCACAAAUUGAGGCACGCGUUAAAACUACGUUUGCCACAAAUUUCUUGCCCUUUUCAUGGAUGGUCCAUACUGCAUACCUUUUGGAUGGUGGCCAAACUGACACCCACAAGUUGUAAACUGUUUCAUGAUAUAUCUAUCAAUUACGUGUUACAAGGUUAUUCUGGUAUAUGAGCCGUCGCUACUGAGAGUUUCAGUUGUUCAGACAGAGCGUUCACACUGAACCGAAGAAAGAGCCAGGAGAUGGUGACGCUGAUCAACCUUGUGCUCAAAACAGGAAACGCGAAGGAAGAAAUCUGCAGCAGACAGGGACCCUGCAUCCCUCCAUUCAUUUCGCGGGUGCUGCUCCGUCCUCGCAACCACAUGGGACCCUCCCUAGGAGCCUCGAUCUCCAGAAGCUAUGCUCUCCAGUGGCCGGCCGGCCGGCCAGCCGGGCGAAACGCCGGCCACGGCGUCCCAUAAGAUAAGGCAAGCGAGGCGUGAACACCACAAUGGUCUUGGAGCUGGAACGCCUUGGAUGCCAUCUCGUCUGGUCUUGGCCGCAAUCCUCGCAGUCAUGUGCGCCACAUGUACCCUGUCGGCGAGGCCAUGGACAGCCGCAUGUUACCGCUGAAAUCUGAAUGGAUGGGCGAGGCAAGUGUGCGAGGGCAAGCGCCCCAGAUUCAGCUCUCUCGCCAGAGAAGGGCUUUCUGUUCGAGCCUUGACCGGCCAGCUCUGGCUGUGCCGGCCAACUUGGUAGCUUGUUUGCCACUUGAUAGGGGCCAAGUGGAAUGGUGAAGCAAGAUUCUGGAUCUUGUGCCCAUCUUUGGCAAUCUUCAGAGCACAUGUUCUCAAUGGCCAAUGGGGUGCCAGCUGAAGAGGAACAAGUGUGUUUGUGUUGUUGCAUGAAUUUUUGUUCUCGCUUUUAGCAAGAUUCUUAGUAAAUGGGGUGUUAACUUUGUGGUUGAGAUUGAAGGAGAAAAAUUCCAUGUCCAUGAAAGGACUAGUGGAUUUGUUGAUGUAAUAAGGAUCAGUUGAUUGAACUGAUGAAUUCGUGGAUUCAAUUCCUUUUGACAGUGAACUGAUGAACUGAA
This is a long non-coding RNA of Panicum virgatum (switchgrass), 1660 nucleotides long. RefSeq lists it as uncharacterized. NCBI's taxonomy places the organism in Eukaryota, Viridiplantae, Streptophyta, Magnoliopsida, Poales, Poaceae. The transcript has 3 exons. The record is from RefSeq and is a predicted model, not a curated record.